CCUACGGGAGGCAGCAGUGGGGGAUAUUGCACAAUGGGGGAAACCCUGAUGCAGCGACGCCGCGUGUAGGAAGACGGUCCUCUGGAUUGUAAACUACUGUCCCCAGGGACGAAGAUGACGGUACCGGGGGAGGAAGCUCCGGCUAACUACGUGCCAGCAGCCGCGGUAAGGCGUAGGGAGCGAGCGUUGUCCGGAUUUACUGGGUGUAAAGGGAGCGUAGGCGGGGAUGCAAGUUGGGUGUUAAAUCUACCGGCUCAACUGGUAGUCGCACUCAAAACUGCAGCUCUUGAGUGAAGUAGAGGCAGGCGGAAUGCCUGGUGUAGCGGUGAAAUGCGUAGAUAUUAGGAGGAACACCAGUGGCGAAGGCGGCCUGCUGGGCUUUUACUGACGCUGAGGCUCGAAAGUGUGGGGAGCAAACAGGAUUAGAUACCCUAGUAGUC
This 440-nucleotide ribosomal RNA is filed under the name uncultured bacterium. RNAcentral describes it as "partial 16S ribosomal RNA". It matches the Rfam family "Bacterial small subunit ribosomal RNA", at positions 338 to 795 of the family's 1533-position model. The record is from RNAcentral.